This 479-nucleotide ribosomal RNA is filed under the name uncultured bacterium. Its description in RNAcentral is "bacterial SSU rRNA". It matches the Rfam family "Bacterial small subunit ribosomal RNA", at positions 31 to 507 of the family's 1533-position model. The record is from RNAcentral.
GAACGCUGGCGGCAUGCUUUACACAUGCAAGUCGAACGGUAACAGGUCUUCGGAUGCUGACGAGUGGCGAACGGGUGAGUAAUGCAUCGGAACGUGCCCAGUCGUGGGGGAUAACGCAGCGAAAGCUGUGCUAAUACCGCAUACGAUCUAUGGAUGAAAGCGGGGGAUCGAAAGACCUCGCGCGAUUGGAGCGGCCGAUGUCAGAUUAGCUAGUUGGUGGGGUAAAGGCCCACCAAGGCGACGAUCUGUAGCUGGUCUGAGAGGACGACCAGCCACACUGGGACUGAGACACGGCCCAGACUCCUACGGGAGGCAGCAGUGGGGAAUUUUGGACAAUGGGCGCAAGCCUGAUCCAGCAAUGCCGCGUGCAGGAAGAAGGCCUUCGGGUUGUAAACUGCUUUUGUACGGAACGAAAAGGUCUGGGUUAAUACCCUGGGCUCAUGACGGUACCGUAAGAAUAAGCACCGGCUAACUACGUG